AUGGGCAGGUUCCACUUCCACCUCUUCUUCUUCCUCGUGCUUGCGCUCGCCACCAGCAGCAGCACCAGCGCAGUGGCCACUGCCAACGAUGACGCCGUGCAGCAGCGGAAGGAGGCCAUGGUGCAGGCCCUCGGGGUAGUCACCCGCUUCGACCUGGCCAACACCGACCCCGAAGCAGUGAGGCAGGUGAAGCAGGCGCUCGCGGUGCUGGACCGUGAGGUCCAGGCCCACCCCCAGCGGUGGAAGACCAUUUUCAACGCCGUUGACAAGGCCAUGCAUAGCGGCGCCGACGACCGCAGCAGGGCGGAGGCGUCCUUAAUGGCCAAGGAGCUGCUGGAGCGGGAGUUCGGCCCGUGUCCGAGAUGCCUCAAAAGGGACCUCGGAGUCGAAGAUCUGUAA
RNAcentral lists this ribosomal RNA (399 nucleotides) under Triticum aestivum (bread wheat). RNAcentral describes it as "partial small subunit ribosomal RNA". Lineage: Eukaryota; Viridiplantae; Streptophyta; Magnoliopsida; Poales; Poaceae. The record is from RNAcentral.